GUUUGAUAGUUGGUCCAGCUCAUACUAUAGAUAUUCCUAAUGUUUCAGAAAACGAAGUGUAAAAUGUUGCUUGAUAGUGGUAAAUAUACCUAUUUCAGUAUUCCUGGACGGGCUAGAAAACUGCUGCAAUCAAAUGGAGAUUUAAAACCUGUCUAACAAAUAACAGAUGAAUUUUUCAAGUGCGUUCUUGAUGUCACACUUUUUUUUUCUUAUUGGCUACAAUUUAAAGUCGAUUCAACAGUUGACAUGUCUUUCGGCGCCGUAUUGAAAUAUUGGAAUUUACAAAUAUUGAUGUAUUAUGAUCGAAAAUAAAACAACACCUAC
Molecule: long non-coding RNA, 324 nt
Filed under: Mytilus galloprovincialis (Mediterranean mussel)
Lineage: Eukaryota; Metazoa; Mollusca; Bivalvia; Mytilida; Mytilidae
Source: RNAcentral